RNAcentral lists this ribosomal RNA (1014 nucleotides) under Enterobacter sp. SP-1.1. RNAcentral describes it as "bacterial SSU rRNA". It matches the Rfam family "Bacterial small subunit ribosomal RNA", at positions 451 to 1450 of the family's 1533-position model. Lineage: Bacteria; Pseudomonadati; Pseudomonadota; Gammaproteobacteria; Enterobacterales; Enterobacteriaceae. The record is from RNAcentral.
GUUUAAUAACCUUAAGCCAAUUGGACGUUACCCGCCAGAAAGAAGCCACGGGCCUAACUUCCGUGGCCAGCAAGCCGCGGUGAUACCGGAAGGUGCAAACGGUUAAUCGGGAAUUACUGGGCGUAAAGCGCACGCAGGGCGGUCUGUCAAGUUGGGAUGUGAAAUCCCCGGGCUCAACCUGGGAACUGCAUUCGAAACUGGCAGGCUAGAGUCUUGUAGAGGGGGGUAGAAUUCCAGGUGUAGCGGUGAAAUGCGUAGAGAUCUGGAGGAAUACCGGUGGCGAAGGCGGCCCCCUGGACAAAGACUGACGCUCAGGUGCGAAAGCGUGGGGAGCAAACAGGAUUAGAUACCCUGGUAGUCCACGCCGUAAACGAUGUCGACUUGGAGGUUGUGCCCUUGAGGCGUGGCUUCCGGAGCUAACGCGUUAAGUCGACCGCCUGGGGAGUACGGCCGCAAGGUUAAAACUCAAAUGAAUUGACGGGGGCCCGCACAAGCGGUGGAGCAUGUGGUUUAAUUCGAUGCAACGCGAAGAACCUUACCUACUCUUGACAUCCAGAGAACUUUCCAGAGAUGGAUUGGUGCCUUCGGGAACUCUGAGACAGGUGCUGCAUGGCUGUCGUCAGCUCGUGUUGUGAAAUGUUGGGUUAAGUCCCGCAACGAGCGCAACCCUUAUCCUUUGUUGCCAGCGGUUAGGCCGGGAACUCAAAGGAGACUGCCAGUGAUAAACUGGAGGAAGGUGGGGAUGACGUCAAGUCAUCAUGGCCCUUACGAGUAGGGCUACACACGUGCUACAAUGGCGCAUACAAAGAGAAGCGACCUCGCGAGAGCAAGCGGACCUCAUAAAGUGCGUCGUAGUCCGGAUUGGAGUCUGCAACUCGACUCCAUGAAGUCGGAAUCGCUAGUAAUCGUGGAUCAGAAUGCCACGGUGAAUACGUUCCCGGGCCUUGUACACACCGCCCGUCACACCAUGGGAGUGGGUUGCAAAAGAAGUAGGUAGCUUAACCUUCGGGAGGG